RNAcentral lists this ribosomal RNA (366 nucleotides) under uncultured bacterium. RNAcentral's name for it is "bacterial SSU rRNA". It matches the Rfam family "Bacterial small subunit ribosomal RNA", at positions 28 to 395 of the family's 1533-position model. The record is from RNAcentral.
GACGAACGCUGGCGGCGUGCUUAACACAUGCAAGUCGAGCGGUAAGGCCCUUUCGGGGGUACACGAGCGGCGAACGGGUGAGUAACACGUGGGUGACCUGCCUUUAGCUCUGGGAUAAGCCUGGGAAACUGGGUCUAAUACCGGAUAUGACUCCGCGGUGCAUGCUGUGGGGUGGAAAGCCUUGUGCGGCUGGAGAUGGGCCCGCGGCCUAUCAGCUUGUUGGUGGGGUGAUGGCCUACCAAGGCGACGACGGGUAGCCGGCCUGAGAGGGCGACCGGCCACACUGGGACUGAGACACGGCCCAGACUCCUACGGGAGGCAGCAGUGGGGAAUCUUGCGCAAUGGGCGAAAGCCUGACGCAGCGAC